RNAcentral lists this long non-coding RNA (1120 nucleotides) under Bemisia tabaci. RNAcentral's name for it is "lncRNA ENSSSA1NGG014756". The record is from RNAcentral. Lineage: Eukaryota; Metazoa; Arthropoda; Insecta; Hemiptera; Aleyrodidae.
UCAAGCAUCCCAAUUCGUCAUAAAAGCAAGGGGAAAACGAUGAAAAGGGGAUACACGUAAGGCAAGGUGAGUGUGAAAACCAACUGGUAUAAAUCUGCAAAGUCCACGUUUUCCGCCACAUUUCGUGACUAGAACCGAAACCUUCAGCUGAAAUUUCAGUUUACCUCACUGUGCAAUCAUGAACUACCAAAUUCCUUUAGUGUUCGCGAUCAUUUGUGUCCAGGGACUGUUAGCAGCCCCUACCUCAAAUGCUCUGCCAGAGAAGGAAAAGGAAUGGCUUGCCACCGAGCUCAAGAACCUGAAAGAAAAGGGAGAAAUGUUCAAAAUGGCAAUGAAUAACUACAUUACUGCCAAACCAGAGCUGGGUGAUAUGAUCGACGAUCUCCUCGCGAAAGGUCAAAAAUCGCAGCUGACUUCGAAGAGUUCCACGGGAAAGUCGCCAACGAGGGACUCGAAGGUGAGGAAGUGGAAGCCAAAUACCGCGAAUUCUACGACUCACUGAAACAACUCGAGAGCACCUUCCUCACCGAUUUCAAGGCUAAGGUAGCCACCAUCCCCAAUGCCACCGCCCUCAACGCCGCAGUCCAGAAGGCAUCAGAAGAAGUCAAAACCCAGGCCUAAUUUCAAGCUUCAAAAAUCCACCUCUAAAAUGUCCCAACUUUUCAGAUGAGAAAAAUUCAGACCGAUAAAUCAAUUUAAACGAAUCCACAAACUGAAAAGAAUUUUAACGCAGAACCUGCUUAUUUUGUCCUGAUUUUAUUUAACUUUUGGAUGAAUAAAGCACCCACAGCAUCACACAUUUUUUAUUGUAAUAAUUUUCUGUCCUUUCAUCUCUCUAAUUUUCGGGCUGGUUAUAUUUCUUAUACAAUGUGCCGAUCAAUCGCAUGACCAAGCCCAGGAAUGAAAAUUAAGGGAGCUCAGACCAAUAAGUACAAUUUGCACUUAAGAUUGUAACUGCUUUUUCGCUCCUUAUAAAAUGCAUUCGAUCAAAUUUCAACAUCUUUUUAAAAUACGACGAGAUAAUGCAUGGAGCAAAUGUACGCAAAAUUAUGCUCAUCAGUAUAAAUCAAUACAAAAUUAGUAUUUUAAAUGUUUUUCGUGCCCCAAAAGUAAUGCAGCA